GUGCGGGGUGCUAUAAUGCAGUCGACGCUUCUUUCCUCCCGAGUGCUUGCACUCAAUUGGAAAGAGGAGUGGCGGACGGGUGAGUAACACGUGGGUAACCUACCCAUCAGAGGGGGAUAACACUUGGAAACAGGUGCUAAUACCGCAUAACAGUUUAUGCCGCAUGGCAUAAGAGUGAAAGGCGCUUUCGGGUGUCGCUGAUGGAUGGACCCGCGGUGCAUUAGCUAGUUGGUGAGGUAACGGCUCACCAAGGCCACGAUGCAUAGCCGACCUGAGAGGGUGAUCGGCCACACUGGGACUGAGACACGGCCCAGACUCCUACGGGAGCGCAGCAGA
RNAcentral lists this ribosomal RNA (336 nucleotides) under Enterococcus sp. enrichment culture clone CMUCB2. RNAcentral describes it as "bacterial SSU rRNA". It matches the Rfam family "Bacterial small subunit ribosomal RNA", at positions 39 to 358 of the family's 1533-position model. Lineage: Bacteria; Bacillati; Bacillota; Bacilli; Lactobacillales; Enterococcaceae. The record is from RNAcentral.